Molecule: long non-coding RNA, 335 nt
Filed under: Olea europaea subsp. europaea
Lineage: Eukaryota; Viridiplantae; Streptophyta; Magnoliopsida; Lamiales; Oleaceae
Source: RNAcentral
GGUAAGUUAUUUGCAAAUACGGUAGGCUACAUAGUCCUCCUGUCAAUAGUUAAAUCAAUUAUUUCUUCGGAAUACUGAAAAAAAGAUUACUACGUGAUUUUAGUAAUCUAUAUGCCCAUAUCGUUUUUCAAUCAUUGAUUCUUUCCAUAAAUACCGAUAUUCAGAUUGGAAAUCAUAAAAAAUCUAGUAAUUCGAAUCAUAAUUAGAAUCAUAAGAUAAGAGUUAAGGCGAUUAUUUCAGAUUGAUUGGAACAAGUAGAUGUAGCAAAUAAAUAGAAUUGGGUGCUAUGUCAAUUCCAUACAAUAAGUUGUAAAUACUGUAGGCAGUAUAUACGG